RNAcentral lists this ribosomal RNA (254 nucleotides) under uncultured bacterium. RNAcentral describes it as "partial 16S ribosomal RNA". It matches the Rfam family "Bacterial small subunit ribosomal RNA", at positions 107 to 354 of the family's 1533-position model. The record is from RNAcentral.
UGAGUAACACGUGAGUGACCUGCCUUUUAGACUGGAACAACUUACCGAAAGGUGAGCUAAUGCCGGAUGAGUUAUAUAAGUGCAUGUUUAUAUAGGAAAAGUCGGGGAGACCUGACGCUGAAAGAUGGACUCGCGUCCCAUUAGCUAGUUGGUAGGGUAAUGGCCUACCAAGGCGACGAUGGGUAGCCGGCCUGAGAGGGUGGCCGGCCACACUGGGACUGAGACACGGCCCAGACUCCUACGGGAGGCAGCAG